UGGGGAAUAUUGCACAAUGGGCGCAAGCCUGAUGCAGCAACGCCGCGUGAACGAUGAAGGUCUUCGGAUCGUAAAGUUCUGUUGCAGGGGAAGAUAAUGACGGUACCCUGUGAGGAAGCCCCGGCUAACUACGUGCCAGCAGCCGCGGUAAUACGUAGGGGGCUAGCGUUAUCCGGAUUUACUGGGCGUAAAGGGUGCGUAGGUGGUCUUUCAAGUCGGUGGUUAAAGGCUACGGCUCAACCGUAGUUAGCCUCCGAAACUGGAAGACUUGAGUGCAGGAGAGGAAAGUGGAAUUCCCAGUGUAGCGGUGAAAUGCGUAGAUAUUGGGAGGAACACCAGUAGCGAAGGCGGCUUUCUGGACUGCAACUGACACUGAGGCACGAAAGCGUGGGUAGCAACCAGG
RNAcentral lists this ribosomal RNA (403 nucleotides) under Verrucomicrobiota bacterium. RNAcentral's name for it is "Verrucomicrobia bacterium partial 16S ribosomal RNA". It matches the Rfam family "Bacterial small subunit ribosomal RNA", at positions 355 to 776 of the family's 1533-position model. Lineage: Bacteria; Pseudomonadati; Verrucomicrobiota. The record is from RNAcentral.